GCCCGCUCAAGAAACGUUAAAGGAAGUUAGACGGGGGCCCGGCACAAGCGGUGGAGCAUGUGGUUUAAUUCGAUGAUACGCGAGGAACCUUACCUGGGCUCAAAUGUAUGUUGACGUAUUCUGAAAGGGAUACUUCUUCGGACAAUAUACAAGGUGCUGCAUGGUUGUCGUCAGCUCGUGCCGUGAGGUGUCGGGUUAAGUCCCAUAACGAGCGCAACCCCUAUCAUUAGUUGCCAUCAGGUCAAGCUGGGGACUCUAAUGAAACUGCCUACGCAAGUAGUGAGGAAGGUGGGGAUGACGUCAAAUCAGCACGGCCCUUACGUCCAGGGCUACACACGUGCUACAAUGGCCGGUACAAAGGGCAGCGACACUGCGAGGUGAAGCCAAUCCCGUAAAAUACGGUCUCAGUCCGGAUUGGAGUCUGCAACUCGACUCCAUGAAGUUGGAAUCGCUAGUAAUCGUGGAUCAGCAUGCCACGGUGAAUACGUUCCCGGGCCUU
This 499-nucleotide ribosomal RNA is filed under the name uncultured Sphingobacteriales bacterium. RNAcentral describes it as "bacterial SSU rRNA". It matches the Rfam family "Bacterial small subunit ribosomal RNA", at positions 903 to 1382 of the family's 1533-position model. The record is from RNAcentral. Lineage: Bacteria; Pseudomonadati; Bacteroidota; Sphingobacteriia; Sphingobacteriales.